This 435-nucleotide long non-coding RNA is filed under the name Elaeis guineensis (African oil palm). Its description in RNAcentral is "long non-coding RNA (EGUI_LNC070122)". The record is from RNAcentral. Lineage: Eukaryota; Viridiplantae; Streptophyta; Magnoliopsida; Arecales; Arecaceae.
AGAUUAGCAGGUCAAGUCUUAUCUCUUCUUUCACUUCAUCUAAUUAAAUCUUCUAAAAUUAUUAGGUCCCUAAAAAAUAAAAUAGUUAUGGUGAUAACUAGAUCAUAGCCUCCCAUUAAAUUGGAUGAUAAUGGGUCCAAUAGUUUAGAUAAUUAUUGGAGGUGCCAUAUGCCUGGUGCUCAUCUGACUGUCGGAAUUAUCAUUCAUAAUAUGUUGAUUUAGUUGUAUCUUUUUAAUGAUGGUCAGGUUGGUUGAGCCACACUCGAAUCUAGUCACUUGUUUGUCAGAUGUAUUAAAUUCUGAAUGUUAAUGGUUGGAUCUAAUCAGAAAUUUUAGUAGAGGUGCCACAUGCCUGCUGAAGAGGUGUCUAAGGCAAAAUUAAUUACUGAAAAUUAUUUGAUGAAAUAAUUGGUUAAAAAUCUAUCCAUGGGUGCA